Molecule: ribosomal RNA, 497 nt
Filed under: uncultured bacterium
Lineage: Bacteria
Description: partial 16S ribosomal RNA
Rfam family: Bacterial small subunit ribosomal RNA
Source: RNAcentral
GAUGAACGCUGGCGGCGUGCCUAAUACAUGCAAGUCGAGCGAACAGAUAAGGAGCUUGCUCCUUUGACGUUAGCGGCGGACGGGUGAGUAACACGUGGGUAACCUACCUAUAAGACUGGGAUAACUUCGGGAAACCGGAGCUAAUACCGGAUAAUAUUUCGAACCGCAUGGUUCGAUAGUGAAAGAUGGUUUUGCUAUCACUUAUAGAUGGACCCGCGCCGUAUUAGCUAGUUGGUAGGGUAACGGCUUACCAAGGCGACGAUACGUAGCCGACCUGAGAGGGUGAUCGGCCACACUGGAACUGAGACACGGUCCAGACUCCUACGGGAGGCAGUAGUAGGGAAUCUUCCGCAAUGGGCGAAAGCCUGACGGAGCAACGCCGCGUGAGUGAUGAAGGUCUUCGGAUCGUAAAACUCUGUUAUUAGGGAAGAACAUACGUGUAAGUAACUGUGCACGUCUUGACGGUACCUAAUCAGAAAGCCACGGCUAACUACGUG